Monodelphis domestica (gray short-tailed opossum) is the source of this 3597-nucleotide non-coding RNA. NCBI's taxonomy places the organism in Eukaryota, Metazoa, Chordata, Mammalia, Didelphimorphia, Didelphidae. The record is from RefSeq and is a predicted model, not a curated record.
CGCAGGCUCCUAGAGACUGACCCACGGCGCGGUGGCUCCCCAAAGCGUGGGAAAUGGGUCAGGAACGUGCCGAGGGUGCCCCCCCCAGAGGGAGAAGCGCUCGGUCUCCCUCCAAGCCAGGAAUAGUGCCAAGCACACAGUAUGGGAAGGGCGCACACAAGGAUGCAGACACGGCCACACGGGGGGGAGCCCGGGCAUCCGUGUGACGCCCAUCUCCGGCCCCCGACGGAGAGCCCCUCGGAAGCUGGAGGCACACAGAGCCCUGGCCAAGACGCCCGCCCUCUGGGCACGGCCAGGAUGUCUAGCGCUGCCCGCACCAAGCCAGAGGUUCAGACCAAUGGCCCAGCCCCAAAGGAGCUCCAGUGUCAGUGAGACCUUUGAGUCCACAGGGUAGAAAGAGCCACUUCCUUCCUCCAAGUAGUCAGGGCUGGCUGCCUGGAAGAGGGGAGCACUUCAGAAGCCAUAGAAAAGGGGGCUUCCACAGGCUCCCAGAAAAGGGGCCACGUGCCACAGAAGCUUCAGGAAGACACCACGAGCACAGGACCUGGUAAAAGCCUGAAGAGGCAGCUGUGGGGAGGCUCUGUGGGAGCCCAAUAAGGAGUGAGGCUAGAACGGAGCGAGGACCUCCUAUCCUGGAAAUCGUCUCUAACAUUUGGGGGCAUCGAGGCCUAUCCUCCUUGUUUGGGAGCUCAACCUUGGCCCGAGGCCCGAGUGCCCAGCCGUCAGGAGGAUCUAGCUCACGGAUAGCCAAGUCCUCUCUUCCUCGGCCCUAGCUGUUUGCAAAGGAGUGAGGUUGGGGGGACCCCAGGCACGCUGCCCACAGCAGCCAGGGAGACUGGACCCAAGCUUAUAGGCUCACCACAAACCUAAGGCCGUCUGACAGCCCAGCCCAGGGGGUCGAUAGCAGGAAGACCAACAGGAAACUCAGCCGGGCUGCCAGGAUCUGACCUAGAUCUUGAAGUCCGAUAGCUGAAGAAGGUAAUGUUCAACUCUCUGGGCUCCCAGCCUCCAGCUCCACCGCGGGCCAGAGACGCCCACCAUGGGACCGGGAGUAGGAAGGCCGAAGAGACCCGUUCACCCAGCAGCCCUCCACGACUUACCCAUCUCUCCCCUGAUUUACUAUUGAACCGAGCCUAGCUCAGCAAGGGACGCCGAGGAUGCCAGGAGCGGGGAAGGCACCUCCAGGGAGGAUCCACUCCAACUCUCAUUUUACAAAUGAGAAAGCGGGCCAGGGAAAUCAAGGGACUUCUCCAAGGUCACACAGGCACCAAGAAGCAAAGCUGGGGUUUAAAACCAAGGCAGGUAACUCAAAAUCUAAAGGCUGGGCUCCUCCAUGCUUUUCAGCCCGACUCGUUUAGCCAGCUGGUGCCACUGUCCUUCCCCACGGGCCGAGCUACACUCCCUGGAUGGAGAGUUUCUCUAGAGGCAGUGGGUGGCACCGUUGGCAGAGAGCCAGGCCUGGAGACUCCUAGGGGGGCCGGAUUUCAAACCUGAGCUGAGACACUUCCUAGCUAGGUGACCCUGGGCAAGUCACUCAACCCCUACUGCCCAGCCCUUUACCCUCUUCUGCCCAAGAGAUACUUAAAAUUGAUCCUAGGACAGAAAUGAAGGGGUUAAAAAAAGGAAGCCUAUACCAGGGUCUCUGGUCUGUCCCUCAGAUUCAGGGUAUCUAGUCUGGAGAUGCUUCAUCCUUUUGUGUGCUGUGGCCUCCUCUGGCAGUCUAGUGAAGCCUGGGGAUCCCUUCUUAAAAUCACAUUUAAAGCCAUAAAGUCUAUAAGACCAUCAAAGAGGCCAGUUACAGUGAAAUAAGGAUGUCUUUUCCCCUCCCGGAUGAUGGCUCUCCUGAAAUCACAGACCCCCAAACUAAGCGCCAGGCCACCCCCCUCUAUCUUAGCCCCUUCACUUUACAGACAGAAGAACGGGGGUCCACCCUCGAUGGCUGCUAGUAGGGGGGCAGGAGAGCCAACCCUGGCCCUCCCUGCCAAGGCCACCAUACUCCACAUGGAUCCCGGCCUCAGUUUUCCCACUUGUAGAAUGGGGAGUUGGAGGCGAUGGAGGUCUCUACAAGUCUGUGAUCUCUGCCCCCUGCCAUCCCUCCCCGGUAAGACCGCACAGCUCUGGGCUCCUCCAUGCUUUUCAGCCCAACUCAUGUAGCCAGCUAGGCACCACUCUCCCUCCCCAAAGGCAGCCACUUUAGAGGAAGAAGCAGCCCAUGACAGGCUCCAAAUGGCCGCUGCUCCUUCCUUCUUCCUCUCUUAGGGAGGGGCCCAUUUCGGGUAAUAUUUCCUAGGGUCAAUCUCCAAGGCUCCUCAGUUUCCCAGACUGUGCAAUGGGUGUGUACGCUCCAGUGUUCAGAUAAUAGAGUCAAGGAAAAGGGGGAUGGGGGCGGGAGCAAGCCCAAGGGUCAGGUGCACAGAAACGCGAGGUACACCCACGUGCAAAAAUAAUAAAAGCCCAGGGUGCGUACACCGGGACACCACUGCAUCCAGACCUCGGUGCACACCCACAGACACGCGCGAACACAAAGACGGAGCUGGGCAAGGGUGCCCCCACCACCAGCACACGCGCACCCAAACCUCAAGGGGCUGCUGUAAGGGAAAGCCUUUGUAAGCCUCAAGGCAGCCUAGCCCCGGGUGCCGUCCUUAUUCCCGGGUGCACCCCGCACCCCCGCACACAUACACCGCAGGCACAUACGUAUAAACAGAUGCAUGUGCACACAGCCCAAGCCCGGCCGCUGCCCCCGGGGCUUCCGGGGCGUGGGCCCCAUGGGCAGGGAAGGAAGCCAUGGGUGGGGAAGACGGUCCUAAGAAAGAAGAUGAAAGACGCCCACGGCUGCGGGGAGAGCGGACCCCCGGCUGCGGCUGGUGGGAAGAGGAAGAGGAGGAGGAGGAGGGGAAGGAGAGCCAUCUGGACCAACCCCCGCGGGACCCCAGCGCGCCAGCUCACCGUGGAUGCCGGUCUGAUGGGCCAUGGCCGCGGGCCGGCCCAGCUCCGCCGGGCCCCUCAGCAACAGCGACGGCAGCAAUAGCAGCAGCAGCAGGAGCAGCAGGCAGCAGCAAAGGCGGCGGCGACAGCAAGAGGAUGUGGCACCGGAGCUUCCCGGGCGGUGCCGCAGUAACCCCCGCCCCCUCCCCCUCCAGGCCCCUCCCCGCCCUGCCCCUCGGGGGCCAGCUGGGGGGGCGGAGCUCCAGAACCCCCUCCCCCAGCCCCCACCCUUCCCACCCUUCCCUUCUGUCCCCUCUGCUUCUACUGGCUUGAGUGGGCGUGAUCCUGAGAGGAGGAUGAGGGAUGCUGGUGGCUGAGGGCAGGGAAUCCGCCAAGCCCAAGAGGAAGACACCGUGAGCGCCACAGCUUGGCAAAAGAGAGAGAAAGCUGGGAGCUUCCAUCUUGCCCUGCAAAAAGCCUACCUUGGUAUUGUCAGCCCUGGAUUUCUUCCAGAACUUGGGCACGGGAUGAACUUCUCUACGUUGAGUGACUGCACUCCCUAAACUCCUCCACUCUCCCCCAAUUGUCAUAAAAUCUACAGCUGGAAUGAAUGGAUAGCUGGAUGGAAAGAUGAAUGAAUGAGUGAAUAAAUGAAUGAAUUUUUAAAGCAUU